AUCCUGGCUCAGGAUGAACGCUAGCUACAGGCUUAACACAUGCAAGUCGAGGGGAAACGAUAUUGGAAGCUUGCUUCCGAUGGCGUCGACCGGCGCACGGGUGAGUAACGCGUAUCCAACCUGCCCAUCACUUGGGGAUAACCUUGCGAAAGUAAGACUAAUACCCAAUGACGUCUCUAGAAGACAUCUGAAGGAGAUUAAAGAUUUAUCGGUGAUGGAUGGGGAUGCGUCUGAUUAGCUUGUUGGCGGGGUAACGGCCCACCAAGGCGACGAUCAGUAGGGGUUCUGAGAGGAAGGCCCCCCACAUUGGAACUGAGACACGGUCCAAACUCCUACGGGAGGCAGCAGUGAGGAAUAUUGGUCAAUGGACGAGAGUCUGAACCAGCCAAGUAGCGUGCAGGAUGACGGCCCUAUGGGUUGUAAACUGCUUUUAUAAGGGAAUAAAGUGAGUCUCGUGAGACUUUUUGCAUGUACCUUAUGAAUAAGGACCGGCUAAUUCCGUG
Molecule: ribosomal RNA, 503 nt
Filed under: uncultured bacterium
Lineage: Bacteria
Description: bacterial SSU rRNA
Rfam family: Bacterial small subunit ribosomal RNA
Source: RNAcentral